UUGGCAAAGUUUUUUUGAAUCAAUUUUUUGGCCAAAGCCUGAGGCCUGGCCCUCGGCAAAGAUUUUUUAUUUUUUUAGCUCAUUUUUUAUGGUAAUAUAAUACACAGUUUUAAACUUAAUUUUAAAAUUUAGGCCAAUUUUGAGUUUUUAUAUAUUUUCUUAAUUUAUUUCGAUUCAUUGAUUUUUUUCGAAUAUUUCAAAUUUGAACAGUAGGUGUAUGGAAUAAUACAAUGUAGUGUUUCAAAAAAUAUUAUUCAUGGUAUUUGGUGUAUGUUGAGUCCCUAUCCACGAACUCGCAUCAAAUUUUGCGCAUCUUAUUCGCAUAACAUGACGAGCCACUUGUCAGAAAAGUGUUUUUUAAAAUUAUAUAAAAUUUAUACAAAGUUCAAAAAUCACGAAACUUGUUGAGGUGUCAUGUUAUCCCAUGUGUAGAUUGUGGUAAAAAUUUGAGAAGAUUUUGAGUGAGUUGUGACGUCGGAUACCUAAAACCUAGAC
Molecule: long non-coding RNA, 495 nt
Filed under: Sorghum bicolor (sorghum)
Lineage: Eukaryota; Viridiplantae; Streptophyta; Magnoliopsida; Poales; Poaceae
Description: long non-coding RNA (SBIC_LNC001873)
Source: RNAcentral